Molecule: long non-coding RNA, 754 nt
Organism: Ailuropoda melanoleuca (giant panda)
Lineage: Eukaryota; Metazoa; Chordata; Mammalia; Carnivora; Ursidae
Exons: 3
Source: RefSeq, a predicted model, not a curated record
CAUUUAUUCAACCAUUUCUUCAUCCAACAGACUUGUUUUUAAAGAAUCUGCCCCGACCCUGGUGCUUCUCCUGCAGCGGAGCUACGGAGAGUGAUGGAAUCCCGUCCUUACUUUCCACGGGCUACCUGCUUCAUGGGAGAGCCGUAGAAUGAGGCCUAUUGGAGUAAAUGCCAUCAUCAGCAAAGAAGAGCAAGGGGAGUGUAUCCAAUGAGGUGAGGAACCAUCAGAGACCUUAAAAGCAUACUCCUACCCAGCCAAAGAGGAUGUUUUAAAAUGAUUUUAUUCAAUAACGAGAGGAAGUAAAACCAGUAAGAGAAUACAGAUGCAUUCCUCUUGUAGACUUUCCUGGAAAAACAGCAGGAACUGCGUCACAAAAGGUCACUAAGAAAAAUUACUGAAUGGAAAACCAUAAGACUAGAAAUGUCAGCUCUGCCGAAGUUUGCUGUGUGGCCCUGGACACGUCAUUUCAUCACGCAGAACGGAGGAAGGUCUGAAAUAUUUUCCCAGUGUAAAGAUAACAUGAGAACCUGGUGAGCCAGCCUCCUAAUGUUCUUCAAAGCCCUAGUCCUGGGACUCCUGUUUUUCCCGUGGCUCAUGGGCAAUAUAGAAAAUGUACUCAUCCCAGCUAGAUGACUAGCUGACUCUCGAGACUUGUCAGAUGGGCCUCCUUCCAGAGAACCAUUCGUGCGAGGUGCUAGUGAAUGCCGCUAGGAUAGAGCUGGAAUUUCACCCGGUUUAGAGAGUAAGUUGUUGG